CUUCACCCCUGUGCUGGCAAACCAGCACCAGCCUUCCUGGGAGCCUCACGGGAGCUGCAGAGAGCAUCUGGGCAGGGAAGUGGGUCACUCAAGGGGUGACAGAGUAAGAGCAUCAUCGCCUGGGUACUGCAUCCCGUUGCCAUGGUGACCUGAGGGCUGCAUCAGUCAACAGCUUUAAAAAUGUGACAGUUGAGUGAGGCUGAAGAUUUUAAUGAGGACAGACACUUCCUUGCUUAGUUUCGAUAACAAAUACUCCAUAAAUACUCACUGGCUGGA
Long non-coding RNA from Pseudopipra pipra, 276 nucleotides. RefSeq lists it as uncharacterized. The record is from RefSeq and is a predicted model, not a curated record. Lineage: Eukaryota; Metazoa; Chordata; Aves; Passeriformes; Pipridae. The transcript has 2 exons.